GAUAAAAUACACAAGCUCCUAAAAACCUGCAUACUUCCAUUAAAGAGUCACAUGAAUCCUUCAUCCUUCCAAUUGCAUCAACUUUGCUUGGAUCUGGCUUUCUCCCAUAAAAUCCACAUAAAUGCCCAAAAAUAAGAACUUCUUGCACUCUAAAUGUAGAUUUUGUUCCUGAAAGUGUAAGAUGAACCUCUUCAAGUCGAGUUAAAAUCUUUUCACAAUCUUGU
RNAcentral lists this long non-coding RNA (224 nucleotides) under Physcomitrium patens. Its description in RNAcentral is "long non-coding RNA (PPAT_LNC006051)". The record is from RNAcentral. Lineage: Eukaryota; Viridiplantae; Streptophyta; Bryopsida; Funariales; Funariaceae.